AUACGUAGGGGGCGAGCGUUGUCCGGAAUGAUUGGGCGUAAAGGGCGCGUAGGCGGCCCGGUAAGUCUGGAGUGAAAGUCCUGUUUUUAAGAUGGGAAUUGCUUUGGAUACUGUCGGGCUUGAGUGCAGGAGAGGUAAGUGGAAUUCCCAGUGUAGCGGUGAAAUGCGUAGAGAUUGGGAGGAACACCAGUGGCGAAGGCGACUUACUGGACUGUAACUGACGCUGAGGCGCGAAAGCGUGGGGAGCAAACAGGAUUAGAUACCCUGGUAGUCCACGCCGUAAACGAUGAGUGCUAGGUGUUGGGGGUCAAACCUCGGUGCCGCAGCUAACGCAUUAAGCACUCCGCCUGGGGAGUACGUACGCAAGUAUGAAACUCAAAUGAAUUGGCGGGG
RNAcentral lists this ribosomal RNA (393 nucleotides) under uncultured bacterium. RNAcentral describes it as "partial 16S ribosomal RNA". It matches the Rfam family "Bacterial small subunit ribosomal RNA", at positions 523 to 918 of the family's 1533-position model. The record is from RNAcentral.